RNAcentral lists this ribosomal RNA (470 nucleotides) under uncultured bacterium. RNAcentral's name for it is "bacterial SSU rRNA". It matches the Rfam family "Bacterial small subunit ribosomal RNA", at positions 8 to 524 of the family's 1533-position model. The record is from RNAcentral.
AGAGUUUGAUCCUGGCUCAGAACGAACGCUGGCGGCAGGCCUAACACAUGCAAGUCGAACGGGAUCUUCGGAUCUAGUGGCGGACGGGCGAGUAACGCGUGGGAACGUGCCCUUUGGUUCGGAAUAGCCCUGGGAAACUGGGAGUAAUACCGUAUGUGGUCGAGAGACGAAAGAUUUAUCGCCAAAGGAUCGGCCCGCGUUGGAUUAGGUAGUUGGUGGGGUAAUGGCCUACCAAGCCGACGAUCCAUAGCUGGUUUGAGAGGAUGAUCAGCCACACUGGGACUGAGACACGGCCCAGACUCCUACGGGAGGCAGCAGUGGGGAAUCUUAGACAAUGGGGGAAACCCUGAUCUAGCCAUGCCGCGUGAGCGAUGAAGGCCUUAGGGUUGUAAAGCUCUUUCGUGGGGGAAGAUAAUGACUGUACCCCAAGAAGAAGCCCCGGCUAACUCCGUGCCAGCAGCCGCGGUAAU